UUGACCAAAUGUUGAAUAAAUUUGUUGAGUAAGACACACAAGAUACCCAGAUGAAUUAGGGCUUCUAAGGCAAACAAGCUUCAAACUCUUGAUGAAUUCUUGAUCAAAAUGACAAAUAAAGAACAUGGGGAUCCAUAUAUGAUACUUAGAAACAUUGUGAACCUUUGAUAACUUGAUCCCUUACACUGAGGGUCUCAAAACCUAGAUAUGAGCUUGAUAAGGCACAGGGGGAUGCACACACUACUUAUAAAAGAAAUGAAACUACACCAGGCAUAUUUUUGGAUUUUGGUUAGUUAAAUAAAGAGAAAAGAAAGUAUGAUACAAUCACAAAUGCUUGGUGAUCUCUCCCAAUGUAAUCCCAAUGAAUGAGGGGUGAGGAGGAUACCAAGGUGUGAUCCCAAAGCCAAUGCAAAUGAUGAGAUGGCAUGAGGGGUCUUAGGGUUAAAAUUGGGGUGUUACACCCUCUCUCAAGGAAGAAAGAGAAAGAGGGAAAAUCAUAAGAGUCACCAGUGAAUUUUAUUUGGAUUCGUCUAUCAGAGAGGAGAGGGGAAAUAGUUGAUAAAACCCUCGAAAAUAGAAAGGUGUGCACCAGAAGCGUAGAGGUACGAAUAAAGAAUCGGUCUUGCAACCGCGACUUCAAUUUGGAAGUCGGUUACGCAAGGGGAAGGUAUUAGCACCCCUCAUAUACAUGGUACUCCAAGGGAACCAUUUGGUUUGUCUACACAUGUGGGUAUUGAUCUCGCUUAUUUCUAUUUAUUCUUAUUUGCAAAAAUGAGUGUGAAAGAGAGGGCUUUGGGUUUUUUAUUAUUGUGCUCGCCAAGGAUUAUGGCCUUUAUGCCUAUGUAUCAGUCAUCGGGUAAUGAUGAAUCAGAGCUCCGUACUUUGGAGUAGAAAAUUUGUAUGUGUUGGUUGAUUUUACCUUUGAGAAAAGGGUUUUCAGAGUGGUGCCCUGAGGAAAAAAUGAGUUUGAUGGGUUAUGUUGUUGUUAUCUUGAAUAAGGGUUUAUGAAAAAGUGUUUGUGAUUAGAUGGCACUAAAGUCUAUGGGUGAAGGUGAAAAUUCUAGACAAACAGACCAAGCGUCUUGUGUCCAAAAUAAUCAAAGUAAGGGUAGGAAGGCUCCAUUCUUACUUAUUCUCCGCCACUUAAGACUCGUGGAGCAUAAUACUAAUCGUAGUUUUAUUGUAUUUUUAAAUUUGAUUAAGAAAAUGUCGUUUGACGUUGGAUCAAGGGUUUGUUUAUUUGAUUAUGAAAUUGGGUAAUGCAAUAGGUAUGAAAAGUAACCGACAUGAAAGUAAAGGGUCUCAUUGUAAGGUAGCCCAAGAGAAAGCCUUGUGUGUGAAAAAGUGACCUAAGCUAAACAAAGGAUAAUGGUCUUAUAAAUAUGUCCCCCUAGGAUGGUGCCAUGAUGUCUUUCUUACAACCAGUAUGCAAGUUACAAAUGAAAUCCAAAGUUAACAGAGUAUCACAAAGAUAUGGAAAGGUCCUCCAAGCAAAGGUCCUAAAUGAGAUCCUCUAAGUCUAAUUGAUUAAGGGGAAGGAAUGUUUUUUGGUCAUAUCAUUUUAUCAUGUUUUUGUUGUUUUUAAUGUAUGAUGACAAUAAAGAUAAAUGACGAUAAUAAACAUGCAUGAUGAGUUUACAAUGAUGAUGAUGAUGAGUACUUGAAUAUAAAUUACAAAGUAAUAACAUAAAAGUAAAUAAAAAAGUAAUAAUGACAAUAUUGCAAUAACAGUGGUUAGUGGUAAACAAAAUCAAUAAAGAAAAGUUAGUAUUAAGUAAGAAUAUGUUCAAGUUAAACUCUUGAGGAUUAUUUAUCCUUAGGUCAAAAGAUUUAAAAUAUGGCGCAUCAAGGGAUAACUUAUCACUGAUAUAAAGUAUUGAAGAUGAUCAAAUGAUCAAAUUACAAUAGAUUUAUAACAAUGAAAGUUAUGCAAACCCCAAGUCCAUCUAUCAAUAGCUUGACAAAAGGAAAACUAUGCCAACUCAAGGAUUAAAAGUUAAUGUUUUGAUUAAACGAUUAAGUUAGACUAUAUGAUCAAUAUACAAUAUGAACAAGUUAACAAUAAGGGUUAGUGGGUUAGUGUAGCAGUAAAUGUUUUGAGAUUAAGUUAUUGAUUAACUUAACACGCAAAGCAAGAGCCGCCACCGCACUUUUAUUAUUUCCAAAGGAAAGGGAAAAAGUACGAACCAAACCCAAAGAAGUUUUAAAAUAAAAACUAAUAAAAAGAGAUAGCAUUCUGGGGGUUAGUUAUGCAAAUGGAAGGUAUUAGCACCCUAAACAUCUAUAGUACUCUAUAGGAACCUCUUUGAAAAUAUGUGCAUUUUGCCUUAAAAUGGUGUUGCUUGCAAGUGAUUGGGGAGAUGAGAAAAAAAUGUUUUUUUAAUGAUUUUUGUGUUUGCCAAGACUUUUGGAGUCUCAUGCCUACGUAUUAAUAAAGUGCAAUGGAGGAUCAAAACCUUGUAGUUCGUGGUAAAAAUAACAAAUAUAUUUGUUUUGAUUUGUUUUUAAUGAAAAGACAUUUUGUCAUUUUUAGGAGAACACAUAACUAACCAUCCACAAGUAUGAGAAUUUUACAUCAUCAUAGAGAAGGACUCAAACUUGGAUAAAGAUAAACAAGUAUGCCACUAGAUAUAUUGGAUAGUAAAAGAUUAUCACCAUACUAUGACGAUAUGAGAAUUACAUCUCAACUAUGGAAAUGACUCAUGUUUAAACUUUGAGAAACAUUUUAAAAGGGAAAAAAUGCACAAAGGCCACAAAAAUGAUUUAAAUGAGUUAUGUAUUUUUUAGUCUUUUUGAAAUUGGUCUGAAUAUGCUUAAGAUAUGUUAACAUUUAUUUUAAGAAAGUAUUUUGAAAAUCACUUGACAAAAGUCAAGGUUUAUUGAGAAAGUGGUUCAAGUUUGAAAACAAGAAGCUUUUAUUGCUUUUAUUAUUAUUUUAUUGAGUAGUUGUCUUAAUGAUAUGAUAUAUAUAUAUAUAUAUAUAUAUAUAUAUAUAUAUAUAUAUAUAUAUAUAUAUAUAUAUAUAUAUAUAUAUAUAUUUGAUUUUUUAAAUUUAAUUUAUAUUAAAAUAAUGGUAAUAAUAAGAUUUAAAAAAAUUAAAAAUAAGGAUUUAAUUGGUCCACUUAUAAGAAGAUGAGGAGAGAACCGAGAGUUGAGAAUGUAGGUGAAAGAAUUGGAAAAGGGAGACUUAGGGCAAAAGACAAGGGUAGGAAGAAUAAGAAGAUCACUAUUGUAGAAGAGUUUGUAGCUUAAAACUCUGAGGUAAAAGGGAAACAUUUCCAAUAAGGGUGUCUAAUCAUGAAAGGGUAGUGAAGGGUCAUGACCCUCUUAGGUUGGUCUUAUACCAUAUUAUGAUUUUUUUAAUUUCCACCAUGAUUGUGAGGAAUGGAUUGUAAUUAAUGUGGUUAUAACAAUUGAUAUUUGUUGAUGAUGGAUAUUGAAUUGUUGCUAAAUUGUAUGUUUGUUAUAUGUUAAGGGUUUGUGAUGAUGUUUAUGAUGAUGGUAGGGUAUGAAAUUGUGAAUUUAUUGGUGUGAUUAUAUGAAUAUAGGUAGGGAGUGUUAUUGGUAUGUUUAUGAUUGAGUUUAAAACCAUAGAAUAUUUUUGGUGAUGAUUUCAUGCAUGUUUUAGUGGUUGGAGAAGAUGAAAAUCGUGCUGGAAAUUUCAGAAAAACAUCAACUUUUUUGUAAUGCCUUCGUGCACGGUUUUAAUUAUAACUUUCAACUCAUAAAUCAUUUUGGGAAGGGGUUUAAAGAGUUGGGUAAAUGAAAUAGAAGGAUAUAAAUUUAUAUCAGGAAUAAAAUAUUUUUGGUGAUAAUUUCAUGGACGUUUUGGGGUUGGAGAAGAUGAAAAACAUGCUGGAAAUUUCAGAGAAAUAGUAACUUUUUGGUAACGCCUUUGUGUACAGUUUUGAUCAUAAUUUUCAACUCGUAAAUUAUUUAGGGACAGGGUUUGAAUCGUUGGAUAUUUGAAACAGAGGACUAUAACUUUGUUUCAGGGAUAAAAUAUUUUUAAAGAUUUUAUCAGAGGUCGUUAGCAGGUGGAAAAGAAAUGUAUGAUGUGAUAAAUAUAGACGAGAUCCUUAUUGACAAAUUACUUUAUGUGUUGUGAAUGAUUCGGAGGGUGUGUUUGAUUAUAUUGGUGGUAAUCCAUAAGGGUGGAUUAAGUUAUGCAUGGUUGAAAAUGCGUGAUCGAUUGUGAAUCACUAAAUAUUAUUAUAAUUGUUGUGUUAAUUGCAUUAUUAUCAUGUCAUGCAUUCAUUGUUGAUAUAUUAAAGGAGAUAAGUUAUAGGUUCGAAGGGAGAGGAAAGACUUAUCCGGAACUCAUAAGGGGGAGUUCGGGAUUCUAAAAGGGGAAUCGAGUUUGUAUGAUGAAUCAUUAAUGAGAAUUGGUACCACAUGCAUCGUGUAAUAUUGUCGGGUCUUGCAUUAUAAUCAUGUUGUGCUUUUGCAUUUGUUAUGGUGAGAAUGUGAUUGUGAAUGAAUGUGAUUUAUGUGUAUAAAUACUAAUCUCUUAAUUAUAUUAUAUAAUGUUUAUUAUAUAAAUGUGUUUCUCACCACUUUUGUGUUUGUUGUGUUUGUGCUCCCUCGGAUUACAAACAAUCAGGUACCUGAGUAGUUGGAGAUGUACCUCAUGUUGUCACUGGUCGAGUCUACUAGUGGAGUUGCUUUGAUAUGUAACACCGGAGAAUGGGUUGUUUUCUUUAUGUUAUUUUGUUACGUAUAUUUUAGUUUAAAGUAAUUAUUGAAUCGCUUUUGGUGUGAAUGAUUUGGUUGAGGUUAUGGAUGUCAUACUUUUGUUUAAUUCCGUUGUUUGGGACUAUAUUUUUUAUUAUAUGAAGUAACAUUCAGACUUCUUAGAUUGUGAAGUGACAUCCUACUUUGAUAGAAUUAUUUUUUAAUUAUUAAUUACUGAAUCGAGAAGUAGGGUGUUAUAGAUGGGGAAUGUGUUAUAUCGCUUUUGAAAAAAAAUUACGAAAAAAAAUGAUUUUAGCUUAGGCAAUUUGAUGAAAGGAGAUGAAGCAUAUAUUUAAGCCCAAAAUAGUUAGGAAAUUUCACGUCAGAAUUUAUACUGGUUCAACCUUAAAUCACACAACCUACUUCAGUCUCCCAAGAAUUUCCCCUUGGGACUUUCGCUAUCAACUUGAGCUUUUAUUACAGGAUUAGCCCAAAACCUCCUUACACAAAGCUCUAACUCAGGUUUAGCUUGCAACCUUUAUAUGUGUUGUGCGGGAAAUUGUGAAUUCAACUAUGCAUGUGGGGUUAAUCGACUACACCUACCUAAUUAGGAAAGAAAAUAUCCACAUUCAUAUGCUAAUCGAUUAGAAAAUGACUAAAAUGAUUUUUAAGAAUAUUAGUACCCCUUACGUCCAUGGGGAAGGUAUUAGCACCCCUUACGUCCAUGGUACUUCAUGGGAACCAUUUGGGUUGUUUUACAUACAUGGGAUUUAUCUAUUAUUGUUUUAUUUUCAAAAGAAUGUGUGAAAAAGAAGGGGGUGCUUUUGUUAUUAUACUGCUCGCCAAGGAUUGGGGUCCUUGUGCCUACGUAUUACUCAUUCGGGGAUGAGGAAUCAGAGCUCCGUAGUUCGGAUUAGAAAAUAUUUGUGUGUUGGUUGAUUUUACCAUUGAAAAAAGGGUUUUCGGGAUGAUGCCCUAAGCACAAAAAAGAGUUUGAUGAGUUGUAUUGUUUUUACCUUGAAUAAGGGUUUUAUGAAAGAAUGUUUAUGAUUAUAUUGUACUAAAGUCUAUGGGCGGAGGUGAUUAUUCUAGACAACAAGCCAAGCGUCUUGCGUCCAAAAUAAUCAGAGUAAGGGUAAAAUGUUUAUGAUUAUAUUGUACUAAAGUCUAUGGGCGGAGGUGAUUAUUCUAGACAACAAGCCAAGCGUCUUGCGUCCAAAAUAAUCAGAGUAAGGGUAGGAAUGCUCCAUUCUCACUCAUUCUCCAUCACUUAAGGCUCGUGGCGCACAAUAAUAAUCGUAAUUAUUAAGUGUUUUGAAUUUGAUUAUAAAACUGCCACUUGACGUUGAAUCAAGGGUUUAUUUUAUUUUAAUUAUGAAAUUUGGCUUAUGCAACAUGAAUGCAAGGUAACCAACAAGAAAUUAAAGGGUCUCAUUAUAAGGUAGCCCAAGAGAAAGCCUUUUGUGUGCAAAAGUGACCUAAGCUAAACAAAGGAUAAUGGUCUUACAAACAAGUCCCCCUAAGGUGGUGCCAUGAUGCCAUUCUUAUAACAUGCAUGUAAGUUACGGAUGAAAAUCCAAGUGUUUACAAAGUAUCACAAAGAGUAAAGGAAGGCUUCCAAGCAAAGGUCCUAAGAUGAAAUCCUCUAAGUCCAAGUUUAUAAAGAGUGGAGUGAAUAUGUUUGGUCUUUAUUAUUUUAUCAUGUUUUUGUUAUUUUUAAUGUAUGAUGACAAUAAAAUAAAUAACAAGUAAGUAAACAUGCAUGAUGAGUUUGUACAAUGAUGAUGAUAAUGAGUACUUGAAUGUAAAUUACAAGGUAAUAACAUAAAAGUAAAUCACAAGAUAAAUAAUGACAAUAUCACAAUAAUAAUGGUUAGUGAAUGUAAAUGACACAAAAUAAACCACAAGUUAAUGGUAACAAAAAACCCAAUAACAAAGGUUAAUGAUAAAAAAAGUUAGUGAAGUAUAAUUAGUGGUUAGUAAUAUGUACACAAUGAACAUCUUGAGGACUAUUUUUCAUAGGUCAAAAAGACUCAAAAUAUGAAACAUUAAGGGAUAGCUUAUCAUUGAUGCAAAGUAUUGAAGAUGAUUGAAAAAUCAACUAACAGUAGAUUCGUAACAAAGAAAGUUAUGCAACCCUAAAUCCAUCUAUCAAUAUUAUGAUUUGUUCUCUUUAUUUUUGUUUUUUUACUCCUCUUUUAUUUAGCAAGAUAGUAAGAGAGUAAAUAAAUUAGUAUAAUAUAAAUGAUAUGGUUAGAUAACAAUGAACAUAAACAUAAACAUAAACAUAAAGUACUUGAAAUAAAGUGAACAAUAAAAUAAAUUGCAAGGAAGUAAAGUGCAAUAAUGUAAAUGUAUUUAGUUGUGUGUUGUAGGAUAUACAAUAAGCAAAAUAGAAUAAAAGUUAUGUAAAUAAAAAUGGUUUCAUCUAUGUAUCAAUAACCCAAUAUGGUUGAAAUAGAGGCCACCUAUGAAUGCCUCAAAGUAUCCAUUAAGGAAUUAUGAUUCUCAUUAUAGGUUUGAACAUAUGAGGUUUUAUCAACUCUAAUACCUUGCCAUGUCUAAUAGAAUCUAUAACCAAUAAAUGUGAAACAAUGUCAACAAUAAUAGCAAAUGAUAACAAAUAUCAAAGUUUGAUUAAAAGGGUUGGUAAACCAUUUUCAACACAAACAGAACCAAAAAUUAACAAUAGUUUAAGCUAAAUCAUUACCAAAAAUGUUGAAAAAGGGUAGGUUGAAAUGGUGUUGAGCUUGGAUAUAAAGCAAGGGGUUUGGGAUGAAAGUGUUUAUGGUGGAAGUUUAGUGAAGGAGCUGAGUUAUGAGUGUUAGAGAGUGAGAAGCUUUGAAAUAAAAUAUGAAAGAGGACAAAGAAAAGUUGGUGGGGUGACUUUUCUAAGUGAGAAAGAUUUUUUGUUUUGACUUAGGUUUGGAAAGGAGAGUAAAUGGUACUUGGACAGAAUUUUUGGGGGCUAGGAAGCAUGAAAAAUGAGGGGAAAUAGUACCUCUAUUUAUAGGGAAGCAAAGGGGUUGAAGUGGGUGAACCAAAGGGUCCUCUGUGUAAAAAACAGAGCUAUUUUUGUUGUCUGCGCAAGUGUAAUCGGUUAUCCUGAUUAGGGUAAUCGGUUACACAAUCCCAAAACGGCAAAAAAACAGUUUUUGGUCUGGGUAAUCGGUUACCAUGAUUAGGGUAACCGGUUACCCAAUUUUUUUUUUUUGAAAUAAUGAAUGUAUGCAUGUGUAGUAGGGUCAUGGAUCAGAUGAAAGUUGUAUCGGAUUAGGGUGAAUUUUGGGGUAUGACAGCUGUCCCUAUUUAAUUUUCUCGGACCUGAAUACAUAGAUAGUGACGACUUCCUUACAUAAGUUCCAUUCUCUCCUAAUUUAUGAUUACUCUCAUUGGUCUAAUUCGCCCUGCCGGAGGAUGAUAAUGUGAAUAUUUGUUUAGGGAUUAUGCAUGGUUAUGAUGAUUAUGCAUGCAAUAUGAUGUACGCAUCCUAAGUAUCUUCUUAACGAUGAAAGUUUGAUGUCAAAAGGGCCCAAGAAAGUUGAGGGACGAAAGCUUCACUAGGGAAUGAAAAAAAGAAGGGUGAUCACUCCUAGUCACGACUGGGAAAAAACAAGGCAGUGUUCCUUAACAACGGCUGAAAUACAAAACAUCUAUUAGGGGUCAAACAAAACGAAAUCAGUGACGAUUCUUAGCGAUGGCUAGAAUACCGGACUCGACUGGAGAUAAAAAAAAUUGCGAAGGUGCAGUGAUGAUUCGUAGUGAAGGCUAGAAUACCUGAAAUCCUCCGGGAAGAUCAAACAACUCGGUGAUGAUUCUUAGCAACGGCUAGGAAUACCUGACUCUGCUGAGGAGAAGGAAAAAAUGUGUUGACUUUCUAGGGAUAGAAGAAGUACAAUGAUGUUUCUCAGCAUUGACCCCUCUGGGGAAACUUGAAAAUGAAAUGAAACAGCUUAGUGACGAUUCCCAGCAACGGCUGGAAUGCGUGGUUGGUGCUUGGGAAAUGUUUUGAGGAUGAACAUUAAUUUUUAUUGGGGAAAAUUCCUAACAACGGUUGGAAAAUUCCGAACUCUGACGAGUUAGUUUGAGUAAGUUAAGGAGAUACUCAUGAUGUGAUGUUAUGUAUGCCAAUGCAUGUUUGGGCUUUCAUGGGGAUUAUAUGAAAUGCAGGGUUUGCAAGUUAUGCCAAGCAUGUUUGGGCUUUGCGGAGGAGUAUAUUUGAGGAAUGCCAAUGGUGAUUGGGCUUGAAAAAGGUGAUUGGGUGAAUCGUAUUAACUUUCUGAUACUUGAGAAAUUGGACUUCGACGUCCAAGCAAGCGCUGAAUGUAAUGUUUGAGAAUUUCCAUUGGGGAGAGAAAUGAUCGGCCUAGUCCAAAGAACUGCGUGGCACCCUUGGGUUGGAAAUGUGUUUUGACUACCUUUAGCAAAAUUCUAAAAAGAAUGUAAUUUGAUAUUGUCUCCCUUAUAGUUUUUUUUUAAAAAAAGGUAUUUUAAUCGAAAAUUUCCCAUGUAAUUUUAUUUAGGAAAAGGUCAUAUUUCGCAGACAAAGCAGGAAAAGUAAAAAUAUGGAACACAUGUGAGGGAACUGAUUUUUAUUGACAAGUGAUUCCACAAGUAGGGAAUUUUGUACAAAGGAAAGCAAUUCCUAAAAGAGGUGAUUGCGAAAAGAAAAUGAUAAUUGUAAUGGCAAUGAAACAUCUCGAGUUUCCUCCAAAUUCUAACUCUACUAUAGCCUCUAUGCCUUUGGUCGCCCUUUGAUCUUGCUUUUUUUGAAGGAGGGUGAUAGGAUUGACUUGCUGAGGACCCACAUAAUUGACUUGCCAAGAAAUGAAGAAGGAUUCCUUAUGGGAUGCAGCCUCUUGCUCGUAUUAAAUCCCUAAUUUUUGCCUAAACCUCCCUUUCGGGUUUUCAAUCUACCAGGAUACCCAUUUUUGCAUAAGUUGCCCUUUCGGGUUUUCAACAUAUCGGGCUAUAUAUAUAUAUAUNNNNNNNNNNNNNNNNNNNNNNNNNNNNNNNNNNNNNNNNNNNNNNNNNNNNNNNNNNNNNNNNNNNNNNNNNNNNNNNNNNNNNNNNNNNNNNNNNNNNNNNNNNNNNNNNNNNNNNNNNNNNNNNNNNNNNNNNNNNNNNNNNNNNNNNNNNNNNNNNNNNNNNNNNNNNNNNNNNNNNNNNNNNNNNNNNNNNNNNNNNNNNNNNNNNNNNNNNNNNNNNNNNNNNNNNNNNNNNNNNNNNNNNNNNNNNNNNNNNNNNNNNNNNNNNNNNNNNNNNNNNNNNNNNNNNNNNNNNNNNNNNNNNNNNNNNNNNNNNNNNNNNNNNNNNNNNNNNNNNNNNNNNNNNNNNNNNNNNNNNNNNNNNNNNNNNNNNNNNNNNNNNNNNNNNNNNNNNNNNNNNNNNNNNNNNNNNNNNNNNNNNNNNNNNNNNNNNNNNNNNNNNNNNNNNNNNNNNNNNNNNNNNNNNNNNNNNNNNNNNNNNNNNNNNNNNNNNNNNNNNNNNNNNNNNNNNNNNNNNNNNNNNNNNNNNNNNNNNNNNNNNNNNNNNNNNNNNNNNNNNNNNNNNNNNNNNNNNNNNNNNNNNNNNNNNNNNNNNNNNNNNNNNNNNNNNNNNNNNNNNNNNNNNNNNNNNNNNNNNNNNNNNNNNNNNNNNNNNNNNNNNNNNNNNNNNNNNNNNNNNNNNNNNNNNNNNNNNNNNNNNNNNUAUAUAUAUAUAUAUAUAUAUAUAUAUAUAUAUAUAUAUAUAUAUAUAUAUAUAUAUAUAUAUAUAUAUAUAUAUAUAUAUAUAUAUUUUAAGCAUAGUAUUUUUUUAUUGCAUCCGCAUUCACCGGGGAUGGGAGAUCUUCACCAUCCAUAGUUGUAAGGAUCAAGACUCCUCCGGAGAAGACCUUUCUUACAACAUAUGGACCUUCGUAGUUCGGCGUCCAUUUUCCCCUUGAUCAGUAUGGAUUUGAAGAAUCUUCUUCAAUACGAGGUCUCCGGCCUUUAGGCUGCGGGGGAAAACCUUUUUGACAUGUGCCCUCUUGAUGCGUUUUUGGUAAAGUUGGCCAUGGCAGAUGCUGAUAAGCGCUUCUCAUCAAUGAGGUUUAGUUGGUCAAAUCGAGCUUGUACCCACUCAGACUCAUCAAGCUUAACAUUUGUCAAAAUCCUUAAGGAAGGAAUUUCUACUUUGACCGGUAAGACUGCAUCCAUGCCGUAUAUAAGGGAGAAGGGAGUUACCCUAGUGGAAGUGCGUACGGAAGUACGAUAGCCGUGUAAUGCGAAUGGGAGCAUUUCGUGCCGAUCUUUGUAGGUUUCCACCAUCUUUUGCACGAUCUUCUUGAUGUUUUUGUUAGCUGCCUCAACAACGCCAUUCAUCUUAGGCCUAUAAGGCGAUGAGUUGUGGUGGUCGAUCUUGAAAUUCUGGCAUAGCUCUUUCAUCAUUUUAUUAUUGAGGUUAGACCCAUUAUCAGUAAUGAUCUUGUUGGGGACCCCAUAACGGCAGAUGAUUUCUUUUCUGAGAAAUCGAGUCACCACUUGUCUGGUAACAUUGGCGUACGAGGCUGCUUCUACCCAUUUUGUGAAAUAGUCAAUGGCUACAAGGAUGAAGCGGUGUCCAUUCGAGGCAGUUGGCUAUAUGCGUCCGAUCACGUCAAUGCCCCACAUGGAGAAAGGCCAAGGUGAUGUUAGGACGUUGAGAGGCGUUGGCGACACAUGGAUCUUAUCAGCAUAGAUCUGGCACUUAUGGCAGGUUUGGACGUGGCGAUGACAGUCAAUCUCCAUAGUCAUCUAGUAAUAUCUGUCCCUUAAGAUUUUAUUCACCAUAGUGCUCCCACUGGCAUGCGUCCCAACAGGAUCCUUCAUGAAUUUCAAUUAUAAGCUGGUUUGCUUCUUGCUUGUUCACACAUCUAAGCAAAACAGAAUCAUAAUUUCUCUUGUAUAAUACCCCUCCACUUAAGAAGAAUUUGGAUGACAGAAAAGCUUCUAUGAAGAACAGCCACUAUCUGGCGUCCGCAGGAUACUCUUGGUUCUCUAAGAAUUUCAUGAUGUCAUGGAACCAAGGAUGACCGUCAGCUUCGUCUUCUGCUGCCAGACAGUAAGCAAGUUCGUCCAAGUAGUUCAGGUGAAAGGACAGCGCUUCGUUCUUCCAUUUAACUUUCAACAUGGAUGCCAAAGUUGCCAAAGCGUCAGCUAGCUAAUUCUCUUCUCGAGGGAUGUGGUGGAAUGUAAUUUCAUCGAAGUAGGGGACUAGUUUCAAGACAUGCUCUUUGUAAGGAAUGAGCUUAUGGUCUCUAGUAUCCCAAUCUCCUUUGACUUGGAUGAUUACCAAGGUUGAGUCCCCAUAGACUUUCAGGGUUUUGAUUCUAAGAUCGAUAGUAGCUUCAAUACCAAAGAUACAAGCCUCGUAUUCGGCCAUAUUGUUUAUACAUUCAAAACAUAAUCGGGCGGUGAAGGGGAGGUGGAAAUUAGUUGGAGAAGUGAUUACUACCCCAAUGCCAUUGCCAUGAGCGUUAGAAGCUCCAUCAAAAACCAUGGUCCAUCGGGAUCCAGGCUCGGGUCCUUCCUCGGGACCGGGGAUGUUGCAAUCCCUAAUCAACAUGAUAUCCUCGUCGGGGAAUUCGAAACGCAUAGACUGAUAGUCCUCCAAGGGUUGUUGUGCAAGAUAAUCAGACAAUACACUCCCUUUGAUGGCCUUUUGAGUGACAUGUUGGAUAUCGUACUCGGUCAGAGCCAUUUGCCAUCGGGCUACUCUACCAGUUAGAGUCGGCUUCUCGAAGAUGUAUUUGACAGGAUCCAUCUUAGAGAUCAACAAUGUCGUAUGAGUGAGCAUGUAUUGUCUUAAACGUUUGGCAGCCCAUGCUAGUGCGCAACAAGUCUUUUCAAGCAUCGAAUACCUACUCUCGCAAUCAGUGAACUUCUUGCUCAAAUAGUAUAUUGCAUGCUCUUUUCUACCAGUCUCGUCAUGUUGGCCGAGGACACAACCCAUUGAUCCUUCGAGAACGGUGAGAUACAUGAUUAAUGGUCUACCAGGUACAGGAGGCAUCAACACAGGAGGCUCUUGCAAAUAUUCCUUUAUUUUCUCAAAUGCGUCUUGGCAGUCAUCGUUCCAAAUGAUGGCUUGAUCCUUUCGAAGAAGUUUGAAGAUUGGAUCACAAGUGGCAGUGAGGUGAGAUAUGAACCUAGCAAUGUAGUUCAAUCUACCUAGGAAUCCUCAGACUUCCUUCUCGGUUUUGGGUGCAGGCAUAGCUUGUAUGGCUUUUACUUUCUCGGGAUCUACUUCGAUGCCACGUUGACUGACGAUAAAACCUAACAAUUUGCCGGAUCUUACCCCAAAUGUGCAUUUGUUGGGAUUAAGCCUCAAUUUGAACUUCCUCAGCCUCUCAAACAACUUUUCUAGAUUGAUAAGGUGUUCUUCUUCGGUUUGAGACUUGGCUAUCAUGUCGUCGACGUAGACCUCAAUCUCUUUAUGAAUCAUAUCGUGAAAGAGAGUGACCAUGGCUCGUUGGUAUGUGGCGCCGGCGUUCUUCAAUCCAAAAGGCAUCACCUUGUAGCAGAAGGUGCCCCAUGGUGUUAUGAAAGUGGUUUUCUCCAUAUCUUCUUGAGCCAUGCGGAUCUGGUUAUAACCGGAGAAACCAUCCAUAAAAGAGAAAACAGAGAACUGAGCGGUAUUAUCUACUAGCACGUCAAUGUGUGGCAGUGGAAAGUCAUCUUUGGGACUUGCUCUAUUUAGAUUUCUAUAAUCUAUGCACAUUCGUACUUUGCCAUCCUUCUUAGGUACAGGCACAAUGUUAGCUAUCCAUUGAGGAUAAUUGGAAACCGCUAGGAAGCCAGCGUUGAGCUGCUUUUGUACCUCCUCCUUGAUUUUCAUAGCCAUGUCGGGAUGGGUCCUUCAUCGUUUUUUCUUUACUGGAGGGCAUUCUUCUUUAAGGGGUAGAUGAUGGACUACAAUGUCAGUAUUGAGGUCGGGCAUAUCUUGGUAUGACCAUGCAAACACAUCUUUGUAUUCCUUCAAGAGCUCAAUCAAUUUUGUCUUCACCUCAUCUUGUAGAGUGAAGCCAACUCAGACUUCUUUCGCUUCCUCAUUUGUCCUAAGGUUAAUCACUUCCAUUGAUUCUUCGUGCAGCUGGAUGACUUUUUCCUCCUGCUUGAGCAGCCUUGCCAAUUCUUCUGGGAGUUCGGCCUCUUCCUCACACUCUUCAUCAGCUUGAUUAAUCGGGUUAUCAAAGUCGUAUGGGACUGUAACAGAAUUGUCAUUGGAGGUUGUCGAGGAUGAUCUGCAUGAUUUAAGGUCCACGCUUUUAUUGGUAUGAAAGAAAGGAUGAUUUAAAAAGAAAUUUAAAAAAAAAAAGGAAAAUGCCAUUUAAAAAAGGUGAAAGGAAUAAAUGAAAGGCAAGGAUCUCAAAAUUGAUUGCGAACAUGAACCCUUUUUCAUUAAGGAUUAAUAAGGAAAUUUGAUGAGGUCCUACAAAUGAUUCCCCCAUGCCUUGGGCUUGACAUGGGUUCUUUUGAUAAAAAGGAAAGGAAACAACAUUAGGAAUUACAUUUCAAUCAAGGUCACUUUAGGUAUUUCAAACUCGGUCCAUUUGGUGGCACAAUUUCCAUCAGUCUUUGUGAAGAUCAACCCAUCAUCUUCUUCUUCUUCUUCUUCCACGGCACAAAUACGGUUGUCAUCCAGGUAACCAGCACUUGAGAAGUUUUUGGAUAGCGGGAGCACUGAUCCCCUUGUAGCUAUCGGCGCGGGCUUCUUCAAAUUCUGGGAGUUUUAUCCCAAACCGGUGUGGUCCUUGUUGGCAGGAAGUUCAAGCAAUCUUCCCCAUCCUUGGGGGUGUCCAUCCUUUAUGAUUGUCAGGGCGUCAUUAAGAGAUGCCAUGGGAGAUUCGGCAUCUUUUGAUUCAUCCCUUGCUAGGCAAACCAUUUCAACAUUGAUAACUUCAAAUGAUUGGAAUGGGACUUCCCUUAUCUCCCCUUCUCCUUCAACGUAUCGAAAAGAUGCGAGGUGACUUACCAUAAUGUCCUCCUCACCCUCGACAACAACUAGCUUAUCAUCAGCUAAGAAUUUCAAAUGGGACUUCCCUUAUCUCCCCUUCUCCUUCAACGUAUCGAAAAGAUGCGAGGUGACUUACCAUAAUGUCCUCCUCACCCUCGACAACAACUAGCUUAUCAUCAGCUAAGAAUUUCAAUUUUUGGUGAAGCGUUGAAGUGACUGCACCAGCUGAAUGGAUCCAAGGCCUCCCAAGCAGACAAUUGUAGGCUGGAUAGAUAUCCAUUACGAAGAAAGUGAUGAGGAAAAUAUGGGGACCAAUCUUCAUAGGCAAAUUCACCUCACUGAUUACAGUCCUUCUAGUCCCAUCAAAUGCUCUUAUUAUAAGCUCACUCGGCUUCAUUAUGAGUCCUUCAAUAGUUAGUUUAGCAAAGGAGCUCUUAGGCAUCACAUUGAGGGAAGACCCAGUGUCUACUAAAACUCUUGAUAGGACUGUGUCCACACACUCAAUAGAAAUAUGGAGAGCCUUGUUAUGAUUCCUCCCCUCGGCGGGAAGCUCUUCAUCACUUAAACCCAAGCUUAAGCUAGUGGCGAUAUUGUUAACUACUCCUUCAAACUGACAAACAGAUAUCUCUUGCGGUACGUGAGUUGUCCUCAGAAACUUUACCAAAUCCUCCCUAUGGGCCUCCGAGCACAUUAAUAAAGACAACAUUGAGAUCUUCGAGGGUGUCUGGUUAAGCUGAUCAACUACUCGAUAAUCGCACUUCUUGAUAAUGCGUAAGAACUCGUCUACUUCACUUGAAGGUGCGGGGUCUUGUCUUUGCUAAGCGCCAUCAAUUUUUUUGCCUUUGUCUGAAGUUGAAGGAUUGAUAGUUCCAAUUGGAGUGGGUGUCAGUGCAAAUAUCCUUCCACUUCUCGUGACUCCGCUAGUGCUGGUGAUAUUGAUCAUUGGGUCACUAGACUUCAACGGUUCUUCUUGAAUCUUCUGACCAUGAAUGUAGACUGAGGUGUCAUACAUCCAUGGGACUGCCUUGGUGUCAACAUAUGGGAAUGGUGUGAGAACUGUUAUUAUGAUUGGAGUAACAGGAUUUGUCGACAGAGUUAACUGAGAGAAGUCAUAUGGAAUUUGCAGAGGAGGGACUUCGUCGUAUGGUAUCUCGAGGGUAGACACAUAUUCCUUUGUGGACGGGCAGUCUACCACCAAGAUCCCUUGGUUCAUUAAUUGUUGUAUGACAGACUUCAAUGUUCUACAUUGUUGCGGGUUAAUCAGAUAGUGUUCACAGUCAUUACCACAGAUGGGAAAGACAUUAUUCUUCAUUAAAGCAUUCUUGAUCUCGAUGAGUGGUGUUUUUAACUCGUCCACACAGGACAUCAAUCUCCUUCCAUUGUCAGCUUCCAUCAUAUUCACUGAUGCAUUGUUGUGAGGGGGCACCGGGUUAUUAUUUACAUUCGGCCCCUUGGGGGAGAACGUGAUUGCCUUAGAGUCAAUAAGAUCUUGAAACUUGUACUUUAAUGCUUUACAAUUCUCGAUCGAAUUCCCAGGAGCGCCAGAAUGAAAUUCACAGCGGGCAUUUGCAUCAUAAUCGGGAGGAAGAAUUGCUGGUGGGGGUCCUAACUCCCUUAGUUGUACAAGUGAUCCCCUCAAUAAAUAUGGUAGAAUGUGGCUAUAAGGCAUGGGAACUGGGUCAAAUCUUCUCUCGGGCCUUUGCAUCCUUUGUUGUUGUUGUUGAUAUUGUGGUUGUUGACAUUGCAGUUGUUGUUGAUACCAUUGUUGUUGUUGAGUUUGAACAGGAAUUGCAAAUGGUUGUUGUUGACUCGGUUGGAUGGGAGCUAUGGCAGCUACUUGUGGAUAAGUGGGAUUUCUGGUUCGAAUGAUGGAGGCAGCAUUGGUCUCGCCUUCUCGUUUUUUACCGUAGGGAACAAAAGGUUUCUUCGAUGCACUAGAAGCACUGGAAGAGUUCUGGAUCUUUCCCAUCUUAAUCAUAUUUUCUAUCCUUUCACCGGCUAAGACCAGGUCGGAAAAGCCCGAAGAGGUGCUCCAUACCAUUCUAUCAAGGUAUGGACCUUGCAGGUUUCCCAUAAACAUGUCUACCAGUUCUCUUUCUAGCAAUGGGGGUUGUACCCUAGCAGCUAAUUCCCUCCACCGCUGGGCAUACUUUUUGAAGGACUCCUCAGACCUCUGAGUCAGAUUUUGCAACUGCGUGCGAUUAGGUGCCAUAUCAGUGUUGUACUAAUAGUGCUUGAGGAAUGCCUCGGCCGUUUCCCUCCAGGUGUGAAUAUGGUUGCCCUCGAGUUGCAUGUACCAAUCCAAAGAUGCCCACUGAGGGAACCUUGGAAAAAAUGCAUUAAAAGUUUAUCAUCGCUGGAAUACGCAGCCAUCUUUUGGCAGUAUGCCCUAAUGUGCGUUCUAGGGUCGCUAUUUCCCUUAUAUUUUUCAAAGUCCGGAACUUUGAACUUGGCCAGAAUGAUGACCCCAGGUACUAAGCACAUUUCUGCCGCAUUAAGGCCCAAAAUGUCAGUGCUCCCCAUUGCUUUGAGCUUUUCCUCGAUAGCCUUUACCUUCCUCUCGACCUUGUUGGUUACCGAACCGAAGGCGUCAUCCUGAGAAGCAUCCUUUGGGUUGAAGAAUGCAUCGAGUUGGUCAUCUGUCUCAAAAAUAUGAGGACGAGGAUUAUCAUUUGGAACACCGCCGGGUGCAUUAAUGUUAAUUGGAGGAUCAACUUGAGGAACUGGAGUCGGAAUCUCGACCGCUAGAGGGGUAGGAGGAUUGGUAGUACUGGCACGUUGGUUCAUUUCUUCUUGCAUUUUUGCCAUAACCUCUUGGCCUCUUGCGAUUGCUUGAAUAGUCUCCAUCAACUGCCAUAUUUGGGACCGUAUUUGGGAUACUUAUUCCUGAAGGACAACUUGAUUCUCUUGAAGUUGCUCCAUGACAGCUUGUCGGCGUCCUCGUGUAUCGUACCGAAAAGUCAGCUUUGGAGAGUGGUUUUGGAAGGAAAAAAGGGGUGGAUGGAUGAGUUUUUUAUGUUUUUGUGUUUCGAAAGAUGCAUAUGAUGCAUAAAAAAAUUGUGUUAAAGCAAAGCUCUUUUUAGUUAUUCAUGUUUAUUCAUUGCAAAAACUACUUGACGAUUCACGUUCACAAUCAUGAAUAAAGGAAAACACAAUAGAGAAAAAUCACAACUUUCAUUCAUCCACUACUUGACGAUUCACGUUCACAAUCAUGAAUAAAGGAAAACACAAUAGAGAAAAAUCACAACUUUCAUUCAUCCUUUGAAGGGAAAAUAGACAGCAAUACAUAGAAGUUGCAAAAUACAAGUAAUGAAAGCAAAUAAACCAACUAGAUAUCCACCCUAAAAGUGACCCCUUGAGACUUGCGGAGAGCCUCAAUAUCGGUGAUGAGUUCGGCCAUUGUUCUUUUGCAGAACUUGACGAAGUGGUAGACCUCCUUGGGGGAAUUAUCUGGACACAUGAUCAGAUUUGCCUCCUUCAACUUGUCGGGAAAGUCUUGAAGGGCAUAGUUGGUUAAUACUGUCAUGUUGGUGUACUUGUCCCUCCAUUCUUCGUAAAGGGCUCCUUCCCUUAUGGAUGAUUUCGUCCCUUUGAACAAUGGCAACUUCGAAUCCAUGGCAACACUCCUUCCAAUGUCUGUAGUUGUUUUGCAAUUCUACAUAGGCUUGGUCAUAGAUUCCCCUCUUCAAGUUCUUGAUUUGCUCGCAAGCUCGUCCAAGGUUGAACUGCUCACGCAUGAAGCUUCGGUGAAUCUUUUCUUUCUCUAGUUGCUCCUGUGCUAGACAAAUCUUAUACUCUUUGAGUGUCCUUAGUCGAGAAUCUGGGCCUCGUAAUCUUCCCUCGCUUCUUUCUUCAUGGCAUUAGACCUCUCGACAGUAUUUUCAAGGUCCUUGAUGAUUCGGGAUGCUCGAUCCAACUCCUCGUUGCGGAAGUCUAACUUAGAAUUAGCUCCUUGUAAAGCUCCACCAACCCAAACUCUUUGUCCCUCGGCUAAUCGGAGCCUUUUCUUGCUAUCUUCAAAUUUUUCACAGACUUGCUUACCCUUAUCCUCCAAAACGUGGUUACGUUCCUUGGCGCGAUUGAGUUCGCCUCAUAGUUGAGUGUUUUCCAACUCGAGCUCUUUGAUUUGGCUGGUAAGUUUUUCUAUGUCCUCUUGUAGGAUAGGCUCGGGCUCGGGCAUCAACGGGAAUGAAGAAGGAUCAAAUAGAAACGGCAUCUUAACCACCCUAGCCCUCUCUUUUACCCACACAUAGUAGGGUUCCUUGGCUAGGAUAUUUUUCUUGCCUCAUUCAUGGUCAAUAGGGAAUAUGCUUGUCCAAGCUUUUCUCACUCUUUUCACGUUUGAAUCAAGCAGAUCCAUGGUAUUGAUGACAAAUGGAAUGAAAUCUCUUUCCUCGGGGGGACUUGUCAUGGUGUACCCUAGUUGUCUCUUGAGUAUAGCAGGGCUGUAGUUGAUGCAACCUUGUGUUCCUAUCAAGGGUACGUUAGAGAACUCUCCACAUCUUGCGAUGACAUCCUUUAUAUCCCAUUCCCUCUUAUACCAUAGAAUUGAGUUGGCAGAGAGAUAUGCAAACCUUUGCGGCCAUGCCAGUUUGUUUUCGACGAAGGGUCCAUUUUGAGGCAUGCGGGCCCUCAUCCAAAGAUGUAGCAUAGGAUCGCAAUAAAGGAAAGUGCCUCCCUUCUUCUCAUGUCUUGCAUGGAAGGUAUGGUAGAAAUCGGCAAGUAAAAAAGGCACCGGAUUCUUUGUUAAAAAGACUUCAACUACUAAUUGAUCCACGAACUUGUCCAGAUUUGGGAAGAGGACAAUUCCAUGAAUCAAAAGUGCCAAGGUUGCACUACAAAAGUCGGGUCUUCCUUCUUUAAUCAUUUACCAAGCAUGGGCUCCUAGUUGUCUCUUGAGUAUAGCAGGGUUGUAAUUGAUACAACCUUGUGUUCCUAUCAAGGGUACGUUAGAGAACUCUCCACAUCUUGCGAUGACAUCCUUUAUAUCCCAUUCCCUCUUAUACCAUAGAAUUGAGUUGGCAGAGAGAGAUGCGAACCUUUGUGGCCAUGUCAGUUUGUUUUCGGCAAAGGGUCCAUUUUGAGGCAUACGGGCCCUCAUCCAAAGAUGUAGCAUAGGAGCUCAACAAAGGAAAGUACCUCCCUUCUUCUCAUGUCUUGUAUGGAAGGUAUGGUAGAAAUCGGCAAGUAAAAAAGGCACCGGAAUCUUUUUUAAAAAGACUUCAACUACUAAUUGAUCCACGAACUUGUCCAGAUUUGGGAAGAGGACAAUUCCAUCAAUCAAAAGUGCCAAGGUUGCACUACAAAAGUCGGGUCUUCCUUCUUUGAUCAUUUCCCAAGCAUGGGCUUCUAGGAACUUUUAAGUUAAACCUUUGAGGGAUCCUUUAACGCCCCAAUUGUCUACUAGCUUGUUGGUGUUGAUACCCAAGGUGAGCGAGAGCUCGGUCAAACAGAAUCCUUCUUCCAAUUUCGGGAAAGGGUUGUAUUCCUUGAUUGGUCAAUUGAGGAGUCUCUCGAGGUCUUCCAAGGUUGGAGAGAUUUGGAAGUCGGUGAAAGUGAAGCAUCUUAAAGGGACAUCAUAGUAUUGGGACAUUGUAGUGAUAGCACAAUAGUCAACCUUCUCGGUUAGAAGAUCUAUGAUGUUUCCAAAAUUGGCUCUAAACUUGUUGUCUUUGAGAGCUAUGACCUUUGAACAGAGGACCUUUAGUGACCUGAUGUCGGGACUCUUGAAGCAGAAAGAAGAAGUGAUUUUCCUUGUUGAAGUAUCCAUGAUUGUGUCGGAAAAUAGUCUUGUAAUUAUGCAUCUGAACAAACGAAAAUUUUAAGAGCUUUGCUUAUUAUUUUAAUGAUGAAUGAAUGUAUGAAUGAAUGAUUGGUUUAUUAUUUCCACUGGAUUUUAGGCAUGGGUUCAUGGUUUUGGACCAUCGUGACGAAGCAUGGAGUUAAUAAUGACUGCUUAGUAAACCAAGGUUCUCGCUUUGUAUGAUCUAAGGAUUUUGGAAAAUUGGGAGUAAGACACUGCCCCUAGAGUCAUGGACUUCCUUGACUGUCAGCCGCUUAUGUCAAUUUACUUGCCAGGCGACUGCUCCAUCAAAGUCAUCUACUCUAAGUGAGAUCUUCGUAUCGACCCUUACGAGGACAGCCGCUUAUGUCAAUUUACUUGCCAGGCGACUGCUCCAUCAAAGUCAUCUACUCUAAGUGAGAUCUUCGUAUCGACCCUUACGAGGAAGGCACCUCGGUGGCCUAUACUACGCGACCAUCGGUCUUGGCUAGCCAUAGUUUUAAAGGUUCUAAAAAGGGUCUUAGGGUCAUUGACUCUAAUAAAAGAAAAGAUGCUUACGCCGAAAGCACGACGGUCAUCAAUCCCCUUAAAAGAAUCUACCACUAAGUGAGGUUCUCGUACGACCCUAACGAGGAAGGCACCUCGCGGAUCAAUAUUACUCAACCUCUCCUAUCUCAAGCAAACUCUCAGACUCGGGUGGGGAGUCCUUCACACAAGGUUUUUUCCUUUGCAAUCAUUAUUGCUUCCAAAAAAUUCUUCGUCACAGAGUCAGGGUUUCGGACCAACAGGUAAACAAAGAAAAUAUGCACGGGUUAGCAAAGAAAGUAAUAUAUACAGAAAAAUAGAUAACAGAUAAAUCUCCACGUACGUAAAAGAGGAAACAACCCAAACUAGGCUAGACUUGCUUAGGGAAUUUUUUCCUUUUCCCCAGCAGAGUCGCCACCUGUCGCUACCGGGAUUUCACGAUAACGAAACCGGGACUAAAGAGAAUGCCAAAAAGAGGAAAAGUCAGAAGAGUCGCCACCAAAUUUUAUUUAGUUUACCUCUAUCAUAGAGGAGAGGGGAAAUAAUCGAUAAAACCCUCGGAAGAGAGACGCGCACGGGAAGCGCUAAAAGAGAAUAAGGAAUCGGUCUCGCAACCGAGAUUUGGGUUCGGAAGUAGGUUACGUAAGGGGAAGGUAUUAGCACCCCUUACGUCCAUGGUACUCCAUGGGAACCAUUUGGUUUGUUUUACAUGGGAUUUAUCUAUUAUUGUUUUAUUUUCAAAAGAAUGUGUGAAAAAGAAAGGGGUGCUUUUGUUAUUAUAGUGCUCGCCAAGGAUUGGGGUCCUUGUGCCUAUGUAUCACUCAUUCGGGGAUAUGGAAUCAGAGCUCCGUAGUUCGGAGUAAAAAAUAUUUGUGUGUUGGUUGAUUUUACCUUUGAAAAAAGGGUUUUCGGGAUGAUACCCAAAGGCACAAAAAAGAGUUUGAUGAGUUGUACUGUUUUUACCUUGAAAAAGGGUUUUAUGAAAGAAUGUUUGUGAUAAUAUUAUACUAAAGUCUAUGGGUGAAGGUGAUUAUUCUAGACAACAAGUCAAGCGUCUUGCAUCCAAAAUAAUCAGAGUAAGGAUAGGAAUGCUCCAUUCUCACUUAUUCUCCACCACUUAAGGCUCGUGGCACACAAUAAUAAUCGUAAUUAUUAAGUGUUUUGAAUCUGAUUAUAAAAAUGCCACUUGAUGUUGAAUUAAGGGUUUAUUUUAUUUUGAUUAUGAAAUUUGGCUUAUGCAACAUGAAUGUAAGGUAACAAACAAGAAAUUAAAGGGUCUCAUUGUAAGGUAGCCCAAGAGAAAGCCUUUUGUGUGCAAAAGUGACCUAAGUUAAACAAAGGAUAAUGGUCUUACAAACAUGUCCCCCUAAGGUGGUACCAUGAUGCCAUUCUUACAACAUGCAUGUAAGUUACGGAUGAAAAUCCAAGUGUUUACAAAGUAUCACAAAGAGUAAAGGAAGGCUUCCAAGCAAAUGUCCUAAGAUGAAAUCCUCUAAGUCCAAGUUGAUUAAGAGUGGAGUGAAUAUUUUUGGUCUUUAUCAUUUUAUCGUGUUUUUGUUAUUUUUAAUGUAUGAUGACAAUAAAAUAAAUAACAAGUAAAUAAACAUGCAUGAUGAAUUUGUACAAUGAUGAUGAUAAUGAGUACUUGAAUGUAAAUUACAAGGUAAUAACAUAAAAGAUGUAUGAUGACAAUAAAAUAAAUAACAAGUAAAUAAACAUGCAUGAUGAAUUUGUACAAUGAUGAUGAUAAUGAGUACUUGAAUGUAAAUUACAAGGUAAUAACAUAAAAGUAAAUCACAAGAUAAAUAAUGACAAUAUCACAAUAAUAAUGGUUAGUGAAUGUAAAUGACACAAAAUAAACCACAAGUUAAUGGUAACAAAAAACACAAUAACAAAGGUUAAUGAUAAAAAAAGUUAGUGAAGUAUAAUUAGUGGUUUGUAAUAUGUACACAAUGAACAUCUUGAGGACUAUUUUCCAUAGGUCAAAAAGACUCAAAAUAUGACACAUUAAGGGAUAUCUUAUCAUUGAUGCAAAGUAUUAAACAUGAUUGAAAAAAAUCAACUAACAAUAGAUUUGUAACAAAGAAAGUUAUGCAACCCUAAGUCCAUCUAUCAAUAUUAUGAUUUGUUCUAUUUAUUUUUGUUUUUCUACUCCUCUUUUAUUUAGCAAGAUAGUAAGAGAGUAAAUAAAUUAGUAUAAUGUAAAUGAUAUGGUUAGAUAACAAUGAACAUAAACAUAAACAUAAACAUAAACAUAAACAUAAAGUAAUUGAAAUAAAGUGAACAAUAAAAUAAAUUGCAAGGAAGUAAAGUGCAAUGAUGUAAAUGUUAGGAGUUAGUAGUUAGUGGUUAGUAGAAUAACAAUAAGCAAAUAGAAUAACAAGUUAAUGUAAAGAAAAUGGUUUCAUCUAUGUAUCAAAUAACCCAAAUAUGGUUGAAAUAGAGGCAACCUAUCAAUGCCUCAAAGUAUCAUGAAGGAUCUAUUGAUCAAUCAUUAAUAGGUUUGAAACAUUGAAGGUUUUAUCAACUCUAAACAACCAUGGACAUGAUCUAAUAGAUCUCAUCAACCAAAUAAAUAUAAAAACAAGUCAACAAUAAAUAGCAAAUGAAACAAAAUACGAAGUUUGAUUAAAGAUGGUAAACAACCAUUUUCAACACAAAAACAGAACCCAAAAAUUAACAAAGUUUAAGCUAAAAUCAUUACCCAUUUUUACAACUUUUUCCCAUCCAACUUUACCACAACUCGAUGGAUAUAAAGCAAGGGGUUUGGGAUGAAAGUGUUUAUGGUGGAAGUUUAGUGAAGGAGCUGAGUUAUGAGUGUUAGAGAGUGAGAAACUUUGAAAAAAAUAUGAAAGAGGACAAAGAAAAGUUGGUGGGGUGACUUUUCUAAGUGAGAAAGAUUUUUUGUUUUGACUUAGGUUUGGAGAGGAGAGUAAAUGGUACUUGGACAGAACUUUUGGGGGCUAGGAAGCAUGAAAAAUGAGGGGAAAUAGUACCUCUAUUUAUAGGGAAGCAAAGGGGUUUAACUGGGUGAACCAAAGGGUCCUUUGUGUAAAAAACAGAGUUAUUUUUGUUGUUUGCGCAGGUGUAAUCGGUUACCCUGAUUAGGGUAAUCGGUUACACAGUCCCAAAACGGCCAAAAAAUCAGUUUUUGGUCUGGGUAAUCGGUUACCAUGAUUAGGGUAACCGGUUACCCAAAUUUAUUUAUUUUUUGAAAUAAUGAAUGUAUGCAUGUGUAGUAGGGUCAUGGAUCAGAUGAAAGUUGUAUCGGAGUAGGGUGAAUUUUGGGGUAUGACACUCAUGUUAUCACUGGUCGAGUCUACUAGUGGAAUUGCUUUGAUAUGUAUCAUCGGAAAAUGGGUUAUUUUCUUUAUGUUAUUUUGUUACGUAUAUUUUAAUUUAAAGUAAUUAUUGAACCGCUUUUGGUGUGGAUGAUUUGGUUGAGGCUAUGGAUGCCAUACUUUUGUUUAAUUUCGUUGUUUGGACUAUAUUUUUUAUUAGAUUAAGUAACAUUCAGACUUCUUAGAUUGUGAAGUGACAUCCUACUUGGAUAGAAUUAUAUUAUAUUUAUUAAUUAUUGAGUCGGGAAGUAGGGUGUUAUAGAGGGGGAAUGUGUUAUAUCGUUUUUCAAAAAAAAUUACGAAAAAAAUGAUUUUAGUUUGAUGAAAGGAGAUUAAGCAUAUAUUUAAGCCCAAAAGAGUUAGGAAAUUUCAUGCCAGAAUUUAUACUAGUUCAACCUUAAAUCACACAUCCUACUUCAGUCUCCCAAGAAUUUCCCCUUGGGACUUUCACUAUCAACUGGAGCUUUUAUUACAGGAUUAGCCCAAAACCUCCUUUCACAAAGCUCUAACUCAGGUUUAGCUUGCAACCUUUAUAUGUGUUAUGCAGGAAAUUGUGAAUUCAACUAUGCAUGUAGGGUUAAUCGAUUACACCUACCUAAUUAGGAAAGAAAAUAUCCACAUUCAUAGUCUAAUCGAUUAGAAAAUGACUAAAAUGAUUUUUAAGAAUAAUUUGAAAAAGAUGAGGUUUGUAAAAUCAUUUUAAGAGUGAGUGUGCAUUGCUUUAGUACCUUGAGAUAUACUCAUACUUAAUUAUAAACUAUUGAUCCUAAACAGAUAAAAAAUACUAAGGAACAUGAUUAGGUAAGCUUUCAAAGACUUUAGUUCCUUUGAUAAUAGUGAUCUUAUCAUUUGAAUUUCUUUGCUCUAAAGACCAUAACCUUCUUAGUUUUACUUUUUAAUAAACUUCAAUCUUCUUCUUCCUUGAUGAUGCUGAUGAUAAUUUUAUUUAAUCUUUUGUCAUUAUCAAAACCACAUUUGAAAUAAAAAUUAUUGUAUAACACAUAGAACCACAAAGAAGACACUCACAACAUGCAUGGUCACUAGGGCCAAUGCAAAAGAUCUUAAAACCUCUCAUGUUGGUCCAACUAUAUGGAUGGAUCUAUGAAUAAGCAAAGUUGAUUUCUUUCAUAAUGUUUGCAUCAAAGGUGUUAAAUGGAUUCACGCCUUCUAAAUAAGUUAUAAGAUCCCAUAUACAUAUAGAAGUACUCAUGAUCAUCUUCUUGAGGGUGUCUGGUGCAUGCCUUGUCGCCUUUCAUGCAAGGCUAUAAUAUGACGUGAUCUUCAUUCUAGAUGGAUGAUAUGAAUAAAUCUUCGGGGAAUACAUUUAUCAUUGAUUCACUAUUGAAAAAGAUCCAAUGCCUACAACUUCAUAGUAGAAGACAGCCAAGCACAUGUGUGAAGUUUCCAUCAGUGGUCCUUCCAGUCCUAGAUGAAAAAAGACACAAAAUAAUGUCACUAUGUAUGAUCUCAUUGCUAUUAAAGUUACUAUAACUACUAUCAUAACUCCCAAACAUCGAUAUUUUGACAAAUCGCCAAUUCAAUUUUCCAUCGGCUCCCCUCGAAGUCUCACAAUAAUGGUGCAACAAAUCACAUUUCCCCUCGUGGGUAUCAUGCUUAACUACAUUAUCAUUAGUCCCUAAGAAAUAUCAUCUUUUAGGCUUCAUGAGAAUGGGAAGAGAACCAAUGUCGUAGGAACUAUCAUAAGAGGAAGAUACAAAAUUGCUUUGUAAAAUGAUUACGGGACUAAGGUGUGAUGAAAAUGGAAAUACAUCACGUGACACCCUAAAACCCAAAUUAUUUUCUAUAAAACAUAAUUUUGCGGAACAUUUAUGUAAUACGAUAAACAGGGAAUCACAUUAACUCAAAAUAACGUCACAAAUAUCAUAUAUAUAUAUAUAUAUAAGUAGUUGUUCAAACAUUAAAUCAAACAUAGAAAUAUUAAAAAUGAAUCUCGACCCUAUGUCACAAUGCCAGAGCCCUAUUACAAACUCAAACAUACCAAAUGACUUAAUAGUUCAACACACAUUAACACAAAAGAAACUAACAAAUUAGUUUUCUACACCAUCUGCAAUAUCCUUGCAGCAGCGCAACUAUUCAUAUGUCUCAAUAUGAGGAUAUCCUACAUAUAAGUUCAAACCAUAGGGACAUAGAAAAUAAAGGGGUGAGAAUACAUUCUACAAGUUAUAAGGUAUAAUAACAGCAAAAGGGCAUCAUCAAUCACAACAUACUACAUUUACACAAUCGUACAAUAUUAUAAGAAUUGUACUGCAUUACGCAAUAUACAAUGAAUGCUUAUGCAAUGCACUUUAUCCUUUACUCCAUAUGCAUGUGGUACCAAUCACCAAACUCAUGGCUUAUUCUGGAAGGAUAUGCGGGAUACCUUGCGUACCACAAUAUUCUUCCUGAAUUCUAUAGUUUAGAAGUACAUGUGAGCUAUGUUCCGUACUACAACACUCUCUCUAGACAUCUAGACAUCUGUAGACUUUUAACAAUAUAUGAGUACAUAUGAGUUAUGUAUACACUACAACACUCUCACUAAACUCUAAUAUAGGAGGACAUGUGAGCUACAUCCAUACUACAACAAUCUCUUCAAGGGUCCGUAGACUCUAAAAUGUCAAAAAGUACAUGUGAGCGACGUCCGUGCUAUGACACUCUCUCUAGACACAAACCUAUUAUGACUCUAGUAUGGUGCAUGAUAAUCAUACAUACGUGAAUUCCUCUCAAACCUCCUCAUUCACCUUGAUUACCACAUUAGGAUUUUCACUAGAUUUUAUCACACAUUCACUUUGAUUUCUGCAUUAUGGCUUCAAAAUGGUUUUAUCAAACCUUAAACUUAAUUGCGACAUUAGAUCUUCACAAUAAUUUUACCUAAUGUUGGACUCAUGUUCUAAGGUUUACCUCGCAAUCAUUAAUCAUUCAAAGUGUUAUUCAUGCAUAUAGGCAUCAUGAGACUCUGCCACAAGAUAGGUAUUUGCAUUAGUUUUCUAAAGCAUCUGGUUGUGUCUCCAUGUAACUGCAUAACCGAUUACACUAUUGUUUCGUUUGAAUUUUUACGGUUGUUAAUGGGUGGAAAUUGAUUGCACAGUCAAUUGAACUAUGCAAAUUUUCACUUUUCGCAACAGUAAACAUGUAUACUCUUAAUCCAACCUCGACAAAAGGGGCAAGAAAUUAUAGAAUACAACACACCAGAGCAUUAUUUAAACAUAACUUUUAACACAAAAAUUAAUCCAUAUUAAUACACCUUCAUCAAUGUAAACAUGGAUUCAACAAUUAUUAUACACAUAAUCAUGACAAUUAUACACAUAAUCAUGAGCAAACAUACUAAUUCACACAAACACCCUCUAUCGUUUAAUAACCAAAUCUCAAAUUUAAGAUUCAAAAUAAAUCGUCUCAUAGGAAAAUUCUUAUAGGAAUUAAAAUGAAUUUAGGGUUGAAGUAAAUGAAACCUACGGAGUAAAUGAACAGUAUAAUUCGUCCAUUUGUUAAAUACAAAUUUGUCCUCUUUUUUUUUAAGUAUAAUUGAUUUGACCAGGUAAAGGUAUGUUUAGAAAAGGGAACAGAUAUAUUAUUUUCUUAUCUUAGUUAUAGAGUUGAUAAUGGCCCCAAUUUAACACGUUCAAGUUAUUUCAAACAAAAACUAUCCAUAACCAAUUUCAUAAAAUUUAAAAAAAAAAGACAUUACCAGUUUUUAAGAAUCAGUUACAACCAAAAGAUCCGUUUCAAUUUCAAUUCUUCUCAGAGACAACCAAAAAAAUUCUUCAUCAGACAUACAGCUACAGCAAAACUUCAACCUCGCCGUAUCUCAGUUGAGAGAAGAAACAAUGAGUCUCUAACCAAGCUGAAGAUUUAGAAAAACGAAAGUUUGAUGCUGAUGAAAAUCUCAGAUCUGGAAAAACAACAAACAAAGCUCAAGAACCAUAAAAAUGAAAGAAACCAUUGGACGGCUGACGGCAAUGAUUGCAGUUAUAAAAAGAACAAAGGGAGGAUGCAAAAUGUUUGAUGGAUAUAAAAUUCUAAUUUGAAAUACAACACUUCGAGCUCAAAACACCAUAUCAUGUCGUAUACGACAAUGAGAUAUUAUCUUUUGUUAUGAAAAGAUGGGAAAACUGGUCUGUUGAAACAGUGUUAAAACCGGUUUGAAACUGGUUUAUGCGAAUAAACUGGUUUAUUUUGAAAACUGAUUUUAAAAUCGGUUCAGAGCUAAACUGAUCCAAAUAUGUGUAGUUCAGUUUUGUUUGGUUUAUGCCACUUGCACACCCACGCAUGGCUAUGAAGAUCAGAAACAUAAACAAGAUCAGAAACAUAAACAGGCAGGCACAAUAUAUUUUAUAUGAUGGAAGAAAAAAAAAAUGGAAAUCAAAAUUCAGCUAUGCUCUCAUUCUGUCUCCAACUCAUCCCUUGCUUUGAUGUCAAGCAAUGACAAAAGUUAAGUUCGCCGUUUUAGUUAUAUUUCUAUCGGGUUCUAUUUUCACUUUCUCCAUAGUUUAUUAUUUAAACUCACGUAAGCCAAUUGCACUAAAUAGUAAAUCCAACAUCAUAUGCCAAAGGAGGUAAAUAUUAACCGGAUAACAUUGUCCUCAUGUAAACAAACACAAACUGCAGCUAAUAGUUCUAGGUUCAUAAUGAUAUCCAGAAAAAGAUUAAAAGCAAGUUACGUAACAAUGCAUGGUGGUGAGACACAACUAGCACAAACUACUGAAUCAAGGGACAUAGCGAACAAGUAUGAAAACUAAUAAGGAGCAGU
This 29020-nucleotide long non-coding RNA is filed under the name Lathyrus oleraceus (garden pea). RNAcentral describes it as "Pisum sativum (pea) long non-coding RNA (PSAT_LNC020704)". The record is from RNAcentral. Lineage: Eukaryota; Viridiplantae; Streptophyta; Magnoliopsida; Fabales; Fabaceae.